Molecule: ribosomal RNA, 465 nt
Filed under: uncultured bacterium
Lineage: Bacteria
Description: partial 16S ribosomal RNA
Rfam family: Bacterial small subunit ribosomal RNA
Source: RNAcentral
GACGAACGCUGGCGGCGCGCUUAACACAUGCAAGUCGAACGGAAAGGCCCUGCUUGCAGGGUACUCGAGUGGCGAACGGGUGAGUAACACGUGGGUGAUCUGCCCUGCACUUCGGGAUAAGCCUGGGAAACUGGGUCUAAUACCGGAUAGGAGCCAUUUUUAGUGUGAUGGUUGGAAAGUUUUUUCGGUGUAGGAUGAGCUCGCGGCCUAUCAGCUUGUUGGUGGGGUAAUGGCCUACCAAGGCGGCGACGGGUAGCCGGCCUGAGAGGGUGGACGGCCACAUUGGGACUGAGAUACGGCCCAGACUCCUACGGGAGGCAGCAGUGGGGAAUAUUGCACAAUGGGCGCAAGCCUGAUGCAGCGACGCCGCGUGGGGGAUGACGGCCUUCGGGUUGUAAACUCCUUUCGCUAGGGACGAAGCUUUUUGUGACGGUACCUAGAUAAAAAGCACCGGCUAACUACGUG